RNAcentral lists this ribosomal RNA (387 nucleotides) under Leptolaimus sp. 53L04E15. RNAcentral's name for it is "bacterial SSU rRNA". It matches the Rfam family "Eukaryotic small subunit ribosomal RNA", at positions 42 to 424 of the family's 1831-position model. The record is from RNAcentral. Lineage: Eukaryota; Metazoa; Nematoda; Chromadorea; Plectida; Leptolaimidae.
GAUUAAGCCAUGCAUGUCUAUGCACAAGCCGAUAAAUGGCAAAGCCGCGAAUGGCUCAUUACAACAGCCACUGUUCACUUGAUCUGUACCAUAUCCUACUUGGAUAACUGUGGUAAUUCUAGAGCUAAUACACGCACCAAUGCUCCGACCGCAAGGGACGAGCGCAUUUAUUAGAACAAAACCAAUCGGGCUUCGGUCCGUUCGUUUGUGACUCUGAAUAACUUUGCUGAUCGUACGGUCUUUGUACCGACGACGCAUCUUUCAAGUGUCUGCCUUAUCAACUUUCGAUGGUAGGUUCUGUGCCUACCAUGGUUGCAACGGGUAACGGAGAAUAAGGGUUCGACUCCGGAGAGGGAGCCUGAGAAACGGCUACCACAUCCAAGGAAG